This is a long non-coding RNA of Acomys russatus (golden spiny mouse), 847 nucleotides long. RefSeq lists it as uncharacterized. NCBI's taxonomy places the organism in Eukaryota, Metazoa, Chordata, Mammalia, Rodentia, Muridae. The record is from RefSeq and is a predicted model, not a curated record. The transcript has 3 exons.
CUGCACUCCAUUUCUAAUGUCAAAGGUUGAGGUGUGGAAGCCGUUGACUGGCUCCUUUGAAGUACGCCUUAGUCCCUGGUGACCUUCUUGCCCCCACCCGAACUGCACAUGUCCCCUCUCACUGGGCUUAGGUGGCUCUGCUUCUUGAAAGCUAUGUGAAAUGGGAGAAAUGAAACCAUGAUUUCCACUGGACUUUGCUGAAGACCUUAAGAGUGCCAAAACAGUACUGCAUUCCUUAAAGAGCGGAAUAAAGGAUCGAGUUAGACUGGCCUUCUCAACACCUCUUGAAAAGCCCCCUUGGGUCUCAUUUUGCUGGGAUGACUAUUUAUAUGACAGGUAAGGGAAUAAUUUUGCUGGAUUCUGUUACACUAGGGCCUCUGUGACCCCUGGGUCAAAAGAGCAAAUGCAAAAGUGACAAUGUGGAUAAUUGCCUGUUUAGGAUAAUGGAAUACUGAUUGAAGUCAAUUAUUAUAACACAUGAAAGAUGAAGGAGCUGAUGUGAAAGGUUCAGGGGCGAUGGCUGCAGAGUGAACCAGCAGGCACCACACAGAGGGGUGGCUGAGCAACUGUGGGAUGCAAGAGGGGGCAGGUUUUCUGACCUAAAGCUCACUCCAGCCUGGAGCAGGCCAAGAUCUAAAGCAGGUUAGUUUGUAAAACAUGCCUUAAAACAGAAAUUCAGCCCAAUGCCCCAAACUGCAGGAUUAGAGUAACAUCAGUUAAUGUGGCCCUCCAUUAAUUUUCACUAUAACCUCUGAAGGCCUAGACUUGCCCCAAAUCCAUUAGUUUUGUCUGUCACUGGAGGGAACUUUCCCUUCCUGGCAGCCAGGAAAAAGCCUGCUGACGUACG